This is a long non-coding RNA of Arachis duranensis, 1578 nucleotides long. RefSeq lists it as uncharacterized. The transcript has 3 exons. The record is from RefSeq and is a predicted model, not a curated record. Lineage: Eukaryota; Viridiplantae; Streptophyta; Magnoliopsida; Fabales; Fabaceae.
ACAUGGCCACCUCUCUGUAUUUCACGUUGGUUCCAGUCCUAGGUGGCGCCUCUCCUCCAUGGUGGCAUCUCCUCCAGCGUGGCUUUUCGUCUUCAGGGGGUGCAUGUGCUCCUCUGUCAAAUUACCAUCAGUCAUCUGUUUCAUCUCCUCGCUCACGCAACCUACCUUCCCUUUCAGCGAGUCUUUCACGUAACCUGCCUUCUCCAUAGAUUUCUUUGAACAAGUAAUGAUUACUUGGAACCCUAGGAGCUUUGCUUUCUUCUCCUUACUGUGCCCUACGAAAUUCUGUUUAGGAGCCCUAUUUUGCUGGGAGUUUGGUUCGUCACCGUUCAUCCAGCUUAGCCAUUUUCCAGUGGAGGCUCAAAUCGAAGAUCUCCGAUCAAUCAAUCAGAUAUCAGCUGUUGGAUGGACAUACUCUUUGCCCUGAACUUAAGAGGCUCAUUGAGAAAAGAAUGGCCUUUUGCGACUAAAAUGGCUUCAUGGUAUUGUUUAUCUAACUAUCACAUCUCUUUAUCCAAAGAAAAAUCUAUCCAGCAGCUGGUCUUCCCAUGAAAAUGUCUUCUGCACACAUUAUAAGGUCGUGCUAUAUAUUCUUCAUUGGAAAUUUGGGAAUCAAUAUCAAGGUAUAAGGUUUCAAUCUCACCCACUUCUUGAAUGUUGAUGUGAUUGACAGAUUUUUAUUGAUGUUUAUCUAUACUUUAUUUUUCCAUUGAUUUGCUGUUUCCAAUGUAUCCCUACCUAAGACAUUUACCAACUCUCAUUUUCAUGAGUAAAAUCAUUGUUUGGGGUAGUUGAUGAUUGCCUUCCCUAUGGUGUAAUGACAUGUAGGUGCACUGUAGUAGGUUUUGCUCCUAUGAUUAGUUGUCUCUAUGCCAUUGAAUGGAGAUGCAUAUGGACUCAGAUUUUAUUUUUCCUCCAUUUUCAUCCUCAAUUUGAAUUCAAAAAGGUGAGCUUGUGUGUUGGUUUUUUUCUAUAAAAGGAUUGUUGGUGGACCACAUUCAAUGCAUAAACAUUCUGCUCUGUUCUAUUUCCUCCUAAGCUCUAUCUAUUUCAGAAUUUUAGAAUUUUUCUGUUUACAUUUUGAUCUAUUUCAUCAACUCUAUUUAUCUCCUUUCUUUUUACUGCAAUGCCUCAUCUAUUUGAUAUGAUUUCUAAGAUGCAUCCUCCUAGAGAGGCUUGGAGGCUGAAAGUUAGGGUUCUAAGGCUUUGGGUUGUACCCUCUUUUGGUAACCAUGAGGUUUCUAACUCAAUGGAGAUGAUUCUCCUUGAUGAGCAUGUUAGCCCCUAUUAGCUUCUCUUUUAAAUAUGAUGUUACUUGUUUUUUAAAUUUUCAACUUUAAAUUAUGUGUUUCACUAAUCUGAUUUUGUUCUUUUGUUGGAUUUCUAGUGUGGAAAAAUUCAAGCUACGGUUAAGAAACCACUCCUUAAUAGGUUUAGGGAUCAUAUAGUUGAGGGUCAAGUUUAUAGAAUGGCAUACUUUACUGUUGUGUCAAAUCAUGGUAGUUAUAGAGCAACUUCUCAUGAAUUCAGAUUGGUUUUCCUUCACCAAACUACUGUUGUAGCUAUUGAUGAAGAUGU